RNAcentral lists this ribosomal RNA (496 nucleotides) under uncultured bacterium. RNAcentral's name for it is "bacterial SSU rRNA". It matches the Rfam family "Bacterial small subunit ribosomal RNA", at positions 903 to 1397 of the family's 1533-position model. The record is from RNAcentral.
AAAGGAAUAGACGGGGGCCCGCACAAGCGGUGGAGCAUGUGGCUCAAUUCGAGGCAACGCGAAGAACCUUACCUGGGCUUGACAUAUGCCGGACCGGCUGUGAAAGCAGUCUUCCCCUUCGGGGGUCGGCAUACAGGUGCUGCAUGGCUGUCGUCAGCUCGUGCCGUGAGGUGUUCGGUUAAGUCCGGCAACGAGCGCAACCCGUGUUACCAGUUGCCACCAGGUCAAGCUGGGCACUCUGGUGAGACUGCCCGUGUCAAGCGGGAGGAAGGCGCGGAUGACGUCAAGUCCGUAUGGCCCUUACGUCCAGGGCUGCACACGUGCUACAAUGGACGGUACAGUGGGAUGCGAGACCGCGAGGUGGAGCAAAUCCUGAAAACCGUCCCCAGUUCAGAUUGAAGUCUGCAACUCGACUUCAUGAAGCCGGAAUCGCUAGUAAAGGCGUAUCAGCAACGACGCCUUGAAUACGUUCCCGGGCCUUGUACACACCGCCCGU